RNAcentral lists this long non-coding RNA (138 nucleotides) under Propithecus coquereli (Coquerel's sifaka). RNAcentral's name for it is "WT1 antisense RNA conserved region 4 (ENSPCOG00000001522.1)". It matches the Rfam family "WT1 antisense RNA conserved region 4". The record is from RNAcentral. Lineage: Eukaryota; Metazoa; Chordata; Mammalia; Primates; Indriidae.
CUUGCUUCGUGUAAAAAACGCCGUCGCUGUAAAUUCCGGCUGCGGUCCCAAAGCGUUUGGGGGCUCGGGACCUACACGCCGGCGCGCAAUUCCCUCCUCUUGGGGUUGCGCAUCCAGUAGGCUCAGGAGACCCCGAGG